This 378-nucleotide ribosomal RNA is filed under the name uncultured bacterium. Its description in RNAcentral is "bacterial SSU rRNA". It matches the Rfam family "Bacterial small subunit ribosomal RNA", at positions 521 to 896 of the family's 1533-position model. The record is from RNAcentral.
UAAAACGUAGGGGGCAAGCGUUAUCCGGAAUUACUGGGCGUAAAGGGCGUCUAGGCGGCCUGCUAAGUCUUGUGUGAAAGCUCCCGGCUCAACUGGGAGAGCGCGUAAGAUACUGACAGGCUAGAGACUCGGAGAGGGGUGUGGAAUUCCCGGUGGAGUGGUGAAAUGCGUUGAGAUCGGGAGGAACACCAGUGGCGAAAGCGGCACCCUGGCCGAGUUCUGACGCUGAAGCGCGAAAGCGCGGGGAGCGAACGGGAUUAGAUACCCCGGUAGUCCGCGCCGUAAACGAUGACAACUAGGUGUCGGGAGCCUUACCGGCUUUCGGUACCGCAGCCAACGCGUUAAGUUGUCCGCCUGGGGAGUACGGCCGCAAGGCUA